This 769-nucleotide ribosomal RNA is filed under the name uncultured bacterium. Its description in RNAcentral is "bacterial SSU rRNA". It matches the Rfam family "Bacterial small subunit ribosomal RNA", at positions 28 to 776 of the family's 1533-position model. The record is from RNAcentral.
AUUGAACGCUGGCGGCAGGCCUAACACAUGCAAGUCGAGCGGCAGCGACUUAACUGAACCUUCGGGGAACGUUAAGGGCGGCGAGCGGCGGACGGGUGAGUAAUGCCUGGGAAUAUGCCCUGGUGUGGGGGAUAACUAUUGGAAACGAUAGCUAAUACCGCAUAAUCUCUUCGGAGCAAAGAGGGGGACCUUCGGGCCUCUCGCGUCAGGAUUAGCCCAGGUGGGAUUAGCUUGUUGGUGAGGUAAUGGCUCACCAAGGCAACGAUCCCUAGCUGGUCUGAGAGGAUGAUCAGCCACACUGGAACUGAGACACGGUCCAGACUCCUACGGGAGGCAGCAGUGGGGAAUAUUGCACAAUGGGGGAAACCCUGAUGCAGCCAUGCCGCGUGUGUGAAGAAGGCCUUCGGGUUGUAAAGCACUUUCAGUAGGGAGGAAGGUAGUGUAGUUAACACCUGCACUAUUUGACGUUACCUACAGAAGAAGCACCGGCUAACUCCGUGCCAGCAGCCGCGGUAAUACGGAGGGUGCGAGCGUUAAUCGGAAUUACUGGGCGUAAAGCGCAUGCAGGCGGCCUGUUAAGUCAGAUGUGAAAGCCCGGGGCUUAACCUCGGAAUUGCAUUUGAAACUGGCAGGCUAGAGUCUUGUAGAGGGGGGUAGAAUUUCAGGUGUAGCGGUGAAAUGCGUAGAGAUCUGAAGGAAUACCAGUGGCGAAGGCGGCCCCCUGGACAAAGACUGACGCUCAGAUGCGAAAGCGUGGGGAGCAAACAGG